Molecule: ribosomal RNA, 104 nt
Filed under: Bacillus cereus BAG3X2-2
Lineage: Bacteria; Bacillati; Bacillota; Bacilli; Caryophanales; Bacillaceae
Source: RNAcentral
GCAGAGAGGUCACACCCGUUCCCAUACCGAACACGGAAGUUAAGCUCUCUAGCGCCGAUGGUAGUUGGGACCUUGUCCCUGUGAGAGUAGGACGUCGCCCAGCA